UACGUAGGGUGCAAGCGUUAAUCGGAAUUACUGGGCGUAAAGCGUGCGCAGGCGGCUUUGCAAGACAGAUGUGAAAUCCCCGGGCUCAACCUGGGAACUGCAUUUGUGACUGCAAGGCUAGAGUACGGUAGAGGGGGAUGGAAUUCCGCGUGUAGCAGUGAAAUGCGUAGAGAUGCGGAGGAACACCGAUGGCGAAGGCAGCCCCCUGGGCUAGCACUGACGCUCAGGCACGAAAGCGUGGGUAGCAAACAGG
Molecule: ribosomal RNA, 253 nt
Filed under: uncultured bacterium
Lineage: Bacteria
Description: partial 16S ribosomal RNA
Rfam family: Bacterial small subunit ribosomal RNA
Source: RNAcentral